Long non-coding RNA from Sardina pilchardus (European sardine), 846 nucleotides. RefSeq lists it as uncharacterized. The transcript has 3 exons. The record is from RefSeq and is a predicted model, not a curated record. Lineage: Eukaryota; Metazoa; Chordata; Actinopteri; Clupeiformes; Clupeidae.
UUUGUUUUCCUUUAGGUGUGCAGCAUGCAGACAGACUGAGACGAUGGCUGGUGAACAUAAGACGACAAGACUGGGAGCCCAGCAAGUCAUCUCAUCUCUGUAGUCUUCAUUUUGAAUACCAUGAAUUCACCAUUGAUACCUAUGGGAAUCGUCUGACUUGCACUGCAGUACCAACUGUGUUCUCCCUUCCUGACCACCUGGUGAAGAGACCUGCUAGUAGAAAGGCAAGUGGUUAUUUUCUUAUCCUUUCUUUGUCAAGUGCUGCAAAUGAGAAGGAAUGUGAAAUGGUGGCUGCUAAUACAUCAGAUCAAAAUGUGGCUUGUCAGUAGUGAGCAGUUACAUUUUUGUGUCACCCAAGACAUUAAAACGAAAGAAUGAUGUCAUGGUUGAGAUUGUGGAGAAAUAUUAAAAGAGGAUGAGAAAGUAAGACGUGUAAAGUAAGUUUCAUGGCAUAACACAAACUUAGAACGUUUUUUAUGUGUUGUCUGUAAUGCUAUACAACUGUAAUACCUCCUGGAAGUUUUGAUUUUAUUUAUGUUUUUUCACAUGGCGGUGGUGGUGCAGGAAGGGGGUAUUUUGUCUUCCGCCUCCCUCCUGCACCACCACCACCAUCACCAGAGCUGAAGGUCUACACCACCACCAUCACCAGAGCUGAAGGUCCACGCCACCAUCGCCAGAGCUGAAGGUCUACACCACCACCAUCACCAGAGCUGAAGGUCCACGCCACCAUCGCCAGAGCUGAAGGUCUACAACGCUGCUGCCACCAGAGCUGAAAUCUCUCUAAGUUAAUGACUAACCCCCCCUCACCCCUUGGCAAACACAAUAAAACAUGGUCAUUUGUGGAUA